RNAcentral lists this ribosomal RNA (500 nucleotides) under uncultured bacterium. Its description in RNAcentral is "partial 16S ribosomal RNA". It matches the Rfam family "Bacterial small subunit ribosomal RNA", at positions 30 to 523 of the family's 1533-position model. The record is from RNAcentral.
AUUGAACGCUGGCGGCAGGCCUAACACAUGCAAGUCGAGCGGAUGACGGGAGCUUGCUCCUUGAUUCAGCGGCGGACGGGUGAGUAAUGCCUAGGAAUCUGCCUGGUAUUGGGGGACAACGUUUCGAAAGGAACGCUAAUACCGCAUACGUCCUACGGGAGAAAGCAGGGGACCUCCGGGCCUUGCGCUAUCAGAUGAGCCGAGGUCGGGUUAGCUAGUUGGUGGGGUAAUGGCUCACCAAGGCGACGAUCCGUAACUGGUCUGAGAGGAUGAUCAGUCACACUGGAACUGAGACACGGUCCAGACUCCUACGGGAGGCAGCAGUGGGGAAUAUUGGACAAUGGGCGAAAGCCUGAUCCAGCCAUGCCGCGUGUGUGAAGAAGGUCUUCGGAUUGUAAAGCACUUUAAGUUGGGAGGAAGGGCAGUAAGUUAAUACCUUGCUGUUUUGACGUUACCGACAGAAUAAGCACCGGCUAACUCUGUGCCAGCAGCCGCGGUAA